GACCCGCGUGGGUGAUGAAGGCUUCGGGUUGUAAAGCCCUGUCGGUUGGGAAAAAGGUAGUCGUGUUAAUACCACGAUUGCUUGAUGGUACCAGCAAAGGAAGUAGCGGCUAACUCUGUGCCAGCAGCCGCGGUAAUACAGAGGCUACAAGCGUUGUUCGGAAUUACUGGGCGUAAAGGGCGCGUAGGCGGUCUUCUAAGUCAGAUGUGAAAGCCUGGGGCUUAACCCCAGAAGUGCAUUUGAAACUGGAAGGCUAGAGUGCAGUAGAGAAUGGCGGAAUUCCCAGUGGAGAGGUGAAAUUCGUAGAUAUUGGGAGGAACACCGGUGGCGAAGGCGGCCAUUUGGGCUGUAACUGACGCUGAGGCGCGAAAGCGUGGGUAGCAAACAGGAUUAGAUACCCUGGUAGUCCACGCUGUAAACUAUGGAUACUCGCUGUGGCUGGUAUUGACCCCGGCCGUAGCCAAGUUAACACGUUAAGUAUCCCGCCUGGGGAGUACGGUCGCAAGAUUAAAACUCAAAGGAAUUGACGGGGGACCGCACAAGCGGUGGAUUAUGUGGUUUAAUUCGAAGCAACGCGCAUACCUUACCCAGCUUGCUUGCUCUGGAUCGGUCCUGGAGA
Molecule: ribosomal RNA, 619 nt
Filed under: uncultured bacterium
Lineage: Bacteria
Description: bacterial SSU rRNA
Rfam family: Bacterial small subunit ribosomal RNA
Source: RNAcentral